AUUGAACGCUGGCGGCAGGCCUAACACAUGCAAGUCGAACGAGUGGCGGACGGGUGCGUAAUGUGUGGGAAACUGCGCGAUGGAGGGGGAUAACACCUGGAAACGGUAUCUAAAACAGCAUACCAUCGGAUGUGCCCACAUGGGAUUAGCUAGUAGGUGGGGGAACGGCUCACCUAGGCGACGAUCCCUAGCUGGUCUGAGAGGAUGACCAGCCACACUGGAACUGAGACACGGUCCAGACUCCUACGGGAGGCAGCAGUGGGGAAUAUUGCACAAUGGGCGCAAGCCUGAUGCAGCCAUGCCGCGUGUAUGAAGAAGGCCUUCGGGUUGUAAAGUACUUUCAGCGAGGAGGCGUUACUCGCAGAAGAAGCACCGGCUAACUCCGUGCCAGCAGCCGCGGUAAUAC
RNAcentral lists this ribosomal RNA (406 nucleotides) under uncultured bacterium. RNAcentral describes it as "partial 16S ribosomal RNA". It matches the Rfam family "Bacterial small subunit ribosomal RNA", at positions 30 to 526 of the family's 1533-position model. The record is from RNAcentral.